AUUCUUAAUCAAGAUGAUGAAGUUUGAGGGUAGAUAAGAUUGUUAAGAGGGUGGUGGUGGAGAAGAGAACCUAGCUGAAGGAAAACUUUGAGGAAUACUGAGUUAGGAUAUCCAAUAAAAAAGAUUCUUCUGCAAAAUAGAGGAUCAGAAAAAAAAGCUAAAAAGGAAGUUGCAGUAACAGCCCUCAAUUCAGCUGAAGGCCAGAGAAAGCGUGGACAACUCAAGAGACUCUGGUAAUUAAUGAGUCAUCAAGAAAUCACCAAUGAGCAGCUUCGGUUAGUUUGGGGUGGAGAGUGGAAGUCAAGAUGCAAAAGAGUUGGAGUCAGUGGGUGAUGAAGAAUUAGCAACAAGCCGUGAAGGAAACUCUUUCUAUCAUUUGGGUAGGAAAAGAAUAGAGAGGGCUCAGCUGAAACAGCACUGAUGAACAUAGAUGGAAUGUCACAGCAGCAGAUGUAUUUUUAGACGUCUUUAAAUGAAUGGAAUUUCAUGAAGACAAGGUAACUUCCUGAAACUUCAACCCAAGUUAUUUCUGUCUUGCUACUUUGAAAGGGCAUAAGGGCCCACAAAGCAGAGACAAGAAGGAACGAACAACAAAGGUGGAAAGUAAGCCCUUGUACGUAGGAGGCAGGCUGCAUGGAGCAUGAGAUCCUGUGGCAGGAGGUAUGGAUGUGAAUCAAAAUUGUAUAGCAGUGUUUUUCCCUAAGAAAAAGGGUUCAGUGAAACAGACCAACCUAUCAUUGAAAGUGACAUAAAUGCUGAAUGAAAGGCGUCAUGACUUUGGUAAUCUCCCUCCUUACUGAGUCUCCGCCUUCCCCUUCUAUAUGCAACCAUUUUUAAGAGAAAAUUUUGGCAUCAGCAAGCAGUCCAGAUUAGGAGGAGGAAGGAAAGGGACUUCCCUUCAAACCUCACUGGAACUAUUUAUCGGAUCUUAAAGGGAGACUGAUUUGCUCCCUUAAUGAGAGCAAGCACAGCUCUGAGUCUCUCUCCAUAUGAGGUACAACAGAUUUUUCCAAGACAGAUUGACUUUCUCACAGCUGGAAGAAUACUCAGGUUUGCAUAAAUGGUCAACAUUCUCCGAAUCACCACAGCAGAGAGAUGAAGAAGAACAAUGGAGUCUUUUUUGUGGCCUUUGCUAGAGAAGGCACUAAGCAUCCCAUUUCACCAAGACAGACGAUCGUUUCACUGAAGACAUGCAAAAGAAAGACUGUGCCAUCGAUUCUAAGGAGAAUUCCAAAACAUUCUGAGCAUGGUGUUUAUGCUACUCAUUCAGACAUUUGGUCUCAUUUGAAAAAGGAAAUCUCAUUGUUUAGGAAUUAGAGCUCAGAUACGUUUAAAU
Equus quagga is the source of this 1336-nucleotide long non-coding RNA. RefSeq lists it as uncharacterized. Lineage: Eukaryota; Metazoa; Chordata; Mammalia; Perissodactyla; Equidae. The record is from RefSeq and is a predicted model, not a curated record. The transcript is spliced from 3 exons.